GGGGCCAUAGCUCAGCUGGCUAGAGCACCUGCUUUGCAAGCAGGGGGUCCAGGGUUCGAAUCCCUGUGGCUCCACCA
Molecule: transfer RNA, 77 nt
Filed under: bacterium
Lineage: Bacteria
Also listed under: 4 other names
Description: tRNA-Ala
Rfam family: tRNA
About the family: Transfer RNA (tRNA) molecules are approximately 80 nucleotides in length. Their secondary structure includes four short double-helical elements and three loops (D, anti-codon, and T loops). Further hydrogen bonds mediate the characteristic L-shaped molecular structure. tRNAs have two regions of fundamental functional importance: the anti-codon, which is responsible for specific mRNA codon recognition, and the 3' end, to which the tRNAs corresponding amino acid is attached (by aminoacyl-tRNA synthetases). tRNAs cope with the degeneracy of the genetic code in two manners: having more than one tRNA (with a specific anti-codon) for a particular amino acid; and 'wobble' base-pairing, i.e. permitting non-standard base-pairing at the 3rd anti-codon position.
Source: RNAcentral